AGUGAACGCUGGCGGUAGGCCUAACACAUGCAAGUCGAACGGCAGCACAGUAAGAGCUUGCUCUUACGGGUGGCGAGUGGCGGACGAGUGAGGAAUACAUCGGAAUCUACUUUUUCGUGGGGGAUAACGUAGGGAAACUUACGCUAAUACCGCAUACGACCUACGGGUGAAAGCAGGGGAUCUUCGGACCUUGCGCGAUUGAAUGAGCCGAUGUCGGAUUAGCUAGUUGGCGGGGUAAAGGCCCACCAAGGCGACGAUCCGUAGCUGGUCUGAGAGGAUGAUCAGCCACACUGGAACUGAGACACGGUCCAGACUCCUACGGGAGGCAGCAGUGGGGAAUAUUGGACAAUGGGCGCAAGCCUGAUCCAGCAACACCGCGUGAGUGAAGAAGGCCUUCGGGUUGUAAAGCUCUUUUGUUAGGAAAGAAAAGCAGCAGGUUAAUACCCCGCUGUUCUGACGGUACCCAAAGAAUAAGCACCGGCUAACUUCGUG
Molecule: ribosomal RNA, 492 nt
Filed under: uncultured bacterium
Lineage: Bacteria
Description: partial 16S ribosomal RNA
Rfam family: Bacterial small subunit ribosomal RNA
Source: RNAcentral